AGCGAGCAGGCCCUGCCCCUCGCUGAACUCUGGAAGCCUGGAGACCUCCGGUGCUCCGGCGUCCGUGCGGCCCAGUUUUCUCCGCCGUGAUGACAUGCUAAACUGAUCUCCUUGAACUCCUGAUGUCCUGGACUUCAGCGGAUCCAGUCAAGACACAGACAUCAGAGACUAAUAAAUCCUGUGUUCCCACCCCUU
Molecule: long non-coding RNA, 195 nt
Organism: Mastomys coucha (southern multimammate mouse)
Lineage: Eukaryota; Metazoa; Chordata; Mammalia; Rodentia; Muridae
Exons: 2
Source: RefSeq, a predicted model, not a curated record